CCUACGGGCGACUGCAGUGGGGAAUAUUGGGCAAUGGACGCAAGUCUGACGCAGCAACGCCGCGUGAAGGAAGAAGGCUUUCGGGUUGUAAACUUCUGUUAAGGGGGAAGAGCAGAAGACGGUACCCCUUGAAUAAGCCACGGCUAACUACGUGCCAGCAGCCGCGGUAAUACGUAGGUGGCAAGCGUUGUCCGGAUUUACUGGGUGGAAAGGGCGUGCAGCCGGGCCGACAAGUCAGAUGUGAAAUCCGCGGGCUUAACGCGCGAACUGCAUUUGAAACUAUUGGUCUUGAGUACCGGAGAGGUUAUCGGAAUUCCAUGUGUAGGGGUGAAAUGCGUAGAUAUAAGGAAGAACAUCAGUGGCGAAGGCGAAUGACUGGACGGCAACUGACGGUGAGGCGCGAAAGCGUGGGUAUCGAACAGGAUUAGAUACCCCUGUAGUC
RNAcentral lists this ribosomal RNA (442 nucleotides) under uncultured bacterium. Its description in RNAcentral is "partial 16S ribosomal RNA". It matches the Rfam family "Bacterial small subunit ribosomal RNA", at positions 338 to 795 of the family's 1533-position model. The record is from RNAcentral.